ACUAGAAUAGCUCAGUUGGUUAGAGCGUGUGGACCUUAACCACAAGGUCGGAGGUUCAAGUUUUCUUUCUAGUG
RNAcentral lists this transfer RNA (74 nucleotides) under Sphenostylis stenocarpa. RNAcentral describes it as "tRNA gene-AYBTSS11_LOCUS27262". Lineage: Eukaryota; Viridiplantae; Streptophyta; Magnoliopsida; Fabales; Fabaceae. The record is from RNAcentral.